RNAcentral lists this ribosomal RNA (543 nucleotides) under Curtobacterium oceanosedimentum. Its description in RNAcentral is "bacterial SSU rRNA". It matches the Rfam family "Bacterial small subunit ribosomal RNA", at positions 68 to 623 of the family's 1533-position model. Lineage: Bacteria; Bacillati; Actinomycetota; Actinomycetes; Micrococcales; Microbacteriaceae. The record is from RNAcentral.
GAUGAUGCCCAGCUUGCUGGGUGGAUUAGUGGCGAACGGGUGAGUAACACGUGAGUAACCUGCCCCUGACUCUGGGAUAAGCGUUGGAAACGACGUCUAAUACUGGAUAUGACUACUGGCCGCAUGGUCUGGUGGUGGAAAGAUUUUUUGGUUGGGGAUGGACUCGCGGCCUAUCAGCUUGUUGGUGAGGUAAUGGCUCACCAAGGCGACGACGGGUAGCCGGCCUGAGAGGGUGACCGGCCACACUGGGACUGAGACACGGCCCAGACUCCUACGGGAGGCAGCAGUGGGGAAUAUUGCACAAUGGGCGAAAGCCUGAUGCAGCAACGCCGCGUGAGGGAUGACGGCCUUCGGGUUGUAAACCUCUUUUAGUAGGGAAGAAGCGAAAGUGACGGUACCUGCAGAAAAAGCACCGGCUAACUACGUGCCAGCAGCCGCGGUAAUACGUAGGGUGCAAGCGUUGUCCGGAAUUAUUGGGCGUAAAGAGCUCGUAGGCGGUUUGUCGCGUCUGCUGUGAAAUCCCGAGGCUCAACCUCGGGCUUG